RNAcentral lists this non-coding RNA (290 nucleotides) under Ricinus communis (castor bean). RNAcentral describes it as "Eukaryotic small subunit ribosomal RNA". It matches the Rfam family "Eukaryotic small subunit ribosomal RNA", at positions 1185 to 1494 of the family's 1831-position model. Lineage: Eukaryota; Viridiplantae; Streptophyta; Magnoliopsida; Malpighiales; Euphorbiaceae. The record is from Rfam by way of RNAcentral.
GCGGCUUAAUUUGACUCAACACGAGGAAACUUACCAGGUCCACACAUAGUAAGGAUUGACAGAUUGAGAGCUCUUUCUUGAUUCUGUGGGUGGUGGUGCAUGGCCGUUCUUAGUUGGUGGAGCGAUUUAUUUGGUUAAUUCCGUUAACGAACGAGACCUCAGCCUGCUAACUAGCUAUGUUGAGGUAUCCCUCUGCGGCCAGCUUCUUAGAGGGACUAUGGCCUUCUAGGCCAAGGAAGUUUGAGGCAAUAACAGGUCUGUGAUGCCCUUAGAUGUUUUGGGCCGCACGC